UGCCAGACUCCUACGGGAGGCAGCAGUGGGGGAUAUUGCACAAUGGGGGAAACCCUGAUGCAGCGACGCCGCGUGGGUGAAGAAGCGCCUCGGCGCGUAAAGCUCUAUCAGCAGGGAAGAAGAUGACGGUACCUGAGUAAGAAGCCCCGGCUAACUACGUGCCAGCAGCCGCGGUAAUACGUAGGGGGCAAGCGUUAUCCGGAUUUACUGGGUGUAAAGGGAGCGUAGACGGCGACGCAAGUCUGGAGUGAAAGCCCGGGGCCCAACCCCGGGACUGCUCUGGAAACUGCGGCGCUGGAGUACGGGAGGGGCAGGCGGAAUUCCUGGUGUAGCGGUGAAAUGCGUAGAUAUCAGGAGGAACACCGGCGGCGAAGGCGGCCUGCUGGACCGUGACUGACGUUGAGGCUCGAAAGCGUGGGGAGCAAACAGGAUUAGAUACCCGAGUAUC
This 448-nucleotide ribosomal RNA is filed under the name uncultured bacterium. Its description in RNAcentral is "bacterial SSU rRNA". It matches the Rfam family "Bacterial small subunit ribosomal RNA", at positions 329 to 794 of the family's 1533-position model. The record is from RNAcentral.